GGGCCUGUAGCUCAAUUGGUAGAGUGCUCGUUUCGCAUCGUACACCCGAGACGCUGGCGCGUGGGAAUCUACGAGAGGUACCGGGAUCGAAGCCCGGCAGGUCCA
Gracilariopsis chorda is the source of this 105-nucleotide non-coding RNA. Lineage: Eukaryota; Rhodophyta; Florideophyceae; Gracilariales; Gracilariaceae. The record is from the annotation of a GenBank genome assembly.